Molecule: ribosomal RNA, 418 nt
Filed under: uncultured soil bacterium
Lineage: Bacteria
Description: bacterial SSU rRNA
Rfam family: Bacterial small subunit ribosomal RNA
Source: RNAcentral
AGAUUGAACGCUGGCGGCAGGCCUAACACAUGCAAGUCGAGCGGUAGAGAGGUGCUUGCAUCUCUUGAGAGCGGCGGACGGGUGAGUAAUGCCUAGGAAUCUGCCUAGUGGUGGGGGAUAACGUUCGGAAACGGACGCUAAUACCGCAUACGUCCUACGGGAGAAAGCGGGGGACCUUCGGGCCUCGCGCCAUUAGAUGAGCCUAGGUCGGAUUAGCUAGUUGGUGAGGUAAUGGCUCACCAAGGCGACGAUCCGUAACUGGUCUGAGAGGAUGAUCAGUCACACUGGAACUGAGACACGGCCCAGACUCCUACGGGAGGCAGCAGGUGGGAAUUUGGACAAGUGGGGGAAACCCUGAUCCAGUCCAUCCGCGUGUGCGAGUGGAACGGUCCGUUCGGGUUAGUAAAGCGUACGUUUU